RNAcentral lists this ribosomal RNA (253 nucleotides) under uncultured bacterium. Its description in RNAcentral is "partial 16S ribosomal RNA". It matches the Rfam family "Bacterial small subunit ribosomal RNA", at positions 524 to 776 of the family's 1533-position model. The record is from RNAcentral.
UACGAAGGUCCCAAGCGUUAUCCGGAUUCACUGGGUUUAAAGGGUGCGUAGGUGGGUUGGUAAGUCAGUGGUGAAAUCUCCGAGCUUAACUUGGAAACUGCCAUUGAUACUAUCAAUCUUGAAUAUUGUGGAGGUCAGCGGAAUAUGUCAUGUAGCGGUGAAAUGCUUAGAUAUGACAUAGAACACCAAUUGCGAAGGCAGCUGGCUACGCAUAUAUUGACACUGAGGCACGAAAGCGUGGGGAUCAAACAGG